GGAGGAGGCGGCGAGCUAGGGUUUCGACCCUCACGAACACUACUUGAUCUUAUCAGAGCGAGCCGUCCGGCGGCGCCGCGGCGGCCGGGGUCGCCUCUCCGACAUCCGCGCCGCCACCGCCGCCCUCCAAGGGUUGGCAGGAAGGUUGGCGCGCUUUGUUGGGGGAAAGAGGCGGCCUUGGUAUCCGUGGUUGCUGCCGGCGGUGAGCGAUGACGACUGCUCGCGGUCGGAGCGCGUGCGAUGAUGGCCGCGCGGGCUCACCCAAACAGCAUGCUAAACUAACAUUUGCGUUUUUUAUCCAUUGCUUUGUUGACGAUUUGUUGAUUUUUUCUUUUGUAUAUGGAUUUUCAUUUCAUUACUUACUCUUGUAUUAGUGAAUGCUAUAUAUUGGACCUGUGUCCGGCUGUUCUUUUCAUGGAGUGGUUUUGUAUAUGCUGUUUGGCAAUAGUGGAUGCAGAGACGCCUUUGGUAUACGAAUGUUUGUAAUUGAACUUGUACAUUGAACAUGUGGAUAUGUUAAUAUUUUUCUUUUUGUUGAGCUCACUUUGCGUUUGUAGAAUUCUUGCUUAUUUAUUAUGAAAAUCUUGUUUUCAAGCUAUUCUACGGUUUCGUUAUUAAUUAUUUCCAAACUACAGUAUCACUCAAAUCUCAAAUUUGAUGUUAUGUAUUUCCAAAUUACAAUAUCACUUCACUACAUUUCAAUGUUUCCGCUGCUGUCCUCGCAUAGCAUCCUUUCAAUCAACUUAAUAGCUUAAUCUUUUACUUCAAUGGGAUGAUAUAUAGAACUCGAAAA
RNAcentral lists this long non-coding RNA (793 nucleotides) under Oryza brachyantha (malo sina). RNAcentral's name for it is "long non-coding RNA (OBRA_LNC003469)". Lineage: Eukaryota; Viridiplantae; Streptophyta; Magnoliopsida; Poales; Poaceae. The record is from RNAcentral.